UACGUAGGAGACGAGCGUUGUCCGGAAUCACUGGGCGUAAAGCGCGUGUAGGCGGGUCCGCAAGUCUGCUGUGAAAACUCCUGGCUUAACCGGGAGAGGUCGGUGGAAACUGCGAACCUGGAGGACGGUAGAGGCUGGUGGAAUUCCCGGUGUAGUGGUGAAAUUCGUAGAUAUCAGGAGGAACACCGGUGGCGAAGGCGGCCAUCUGGACGGAUACUGACGCUGAGACGCGAAAGCGUGGGGAGCAAACAGG
Molecule: ribosomal RNA, 253 nt
Filed under: uncultured bacterium
Lineage: Bacteria
Description: partial 16S ribosomal RNA
Rfam family: Bacterial small subunit ribosomal RNA
Source: RNAcentral